AUACGUAGGGUGCGAGCGUUGUCCGGAAUUACUGGGCGUAAAGAGCUCGUAGGUGGUUUGUCGCGUCGUCUGUGAAAUUCCGGGGCUUAACUCCGGGCGUGCAGGCGAUACGGGCAUAACUUGAGUACUGUAGGGGAGACUGGAAUUCCUGGUGUAGCGGUGAAAUGCGCAGAUAUCAGGAGGAACACCGGUGGCGAAGGCGGGUCUCUGGGCAGUAACUGACGCUGAGGAGCGAAAGCACGGGUAGCGAACAGGAUUAGAUACCCUGGUAGUCCAUGCCGUAAACGGUGGGCGCUAGGUGUAGGGGUCUUCCACGACUUCUGUGCCGUAGCUAACGCAUUAAGCGCCCCGCCUGGGGAGUACGGCCGCAAGGCUAAAACUUAAAGGAAUUGACGGGG
Molecule: ribosomal RNA, 398 nt
Filed under: uncultured bacterium
Lineage: Bacteria
Description: partial 16S ribosomal RNA
Rfam family: Bacterial small subunit ribosomal RNA
Source: RNAcentral